GGUUAAGCGACUAAGCGUACACGGUGGAUGCCCUGGCAGUCAGAGGCGAUGAAGGACGUGCUAAUCUGCGAUAAGCGUCGGUGAGGUGAUAUGAACCGUUAUAACCGGCGAUUUCCGAAUGGGGAAACCCAGUGUGUUUCGACACACUAUCAUUAACUGAAUCCAUAGGUUAAUGAGGCGAACCGGGGGAACUGAAACAUCUAAGUACCCCGAGGAAAAGAAAUCAACCGAGAUUCCCCCAGUAGCGGCGAGCGAACGGGGAGGAGCCCAGAGCCUGAAUCAGUGUGUGUGUUAGUGGAAGCGUCUGGAAAGGCGCGCGAUACAGGGUGACAGCCCCGUACACAAAAAUGCACAUAUUGUGAGCUCGAUGAGUAGGGCGGGACACGUGGUAUCCUGUCUGAAUAUGGGGGGACCAUCCUCCAAGGCUAAAUACUCCUGACUGACCGAUAGUGAACCAGUACCGUGAGGGAAAGGCGAAAAGAACCCCGGCGAGGGGAGUGAAAAAGAACCUGAAACCGUGUACGUACAAGCAGUGGGAGCCUCUUAAUGGGGUGACUGCGUACCUUUUGUAUAAUGGGUCAGCGACUUAUAUUCUGUAGCAAGGUUAACCGAAUAGGGGAGCCGAAGGGAAACCGAGUCUUAACUGGGCGUUAAGUUGCAGGGUAUAGACCCGAAACCCGGUGAUCUAGCCAUGGGCAGGUUGAAGGUUGGGUAACACUAACUGGAGGACCGAACCGACUAAUGUUGAAAAAUUAGCGGAUGACUUGUGGCUGGGGGUGAAAGGCCAAUCAAACCGGGAGAUAGCUGGUUCUCCCCGAAAGCUAUUUAGGUAGCGCCUCGUGAAUUCAUCUCCGGGGGUAGAGCACUGUUUCGGCAAGGGGGUCAUCCCGACUUACCAACCCGAUGCAAACUGCGAAUACCGGAGAAUGUUAUCACGGGAGACACACGGCGGGUGCUAACGUCCGUCGUGAAGAGGGAAACAACCCAGACCGCCAGCUAAGGUCCCAAAGUCAUGGUUAAGUGGGAAACGAUGUGGGAAGGCCCAGACAGCCAGGAUGUUGGCUUAGAAGCAGCCAUCAUUUAAAGAAAGCGUAAUAGCUCACUGGUCGAGUCGGCCUGCGCGGAAGAUGUAACGGGGCUAAACCAUGCACCGAAGCUGCGGCAGCGACACUAUGUGUUGUUGGGUAGGGGAGCGUUCUGUAAGCCUGUGAAGGUGGCCUGUGAGGGUUGCUGGAGGUAUCAGAAGUGCGAAUGCUGACAUAAGUAACGAUAAAGCGGGUGAAAAGCCCGCUCGCCGGAAGACCAAGGGUUCCUGUCCAACGUUAAUCGGGGCAGGGUGAGUCGACCCCUAAGGCGAGGCCGAAAGGCGUAGUCGAUGGGAAACAGGUUAAUAUUCCUGUACUUGGUGUUACUGCGAAGGGGGGACGGAGAAGGCUAUGUUGGCCGGGCGACGGUUGUCCCGGUUUAAGCGUGUAGGCUGGUUUUCCAGGCAAAUCCGGAAAACCAAGGCUGAGGCGUGAUGACGAGGCACUACGGUGCUGAAGUGACAAAUGCCCUGCUUCCAGGAAAAGCCUCUAAGCAUCAGGUAACAUCAAAUCGUACCCCAAACCGACACAGGUGGUCAGGUAGAGAAUACCAAGGCGCUUGAGAGAACUCGGGUGAAGGAACUAGGCAAAAUGGUGCCGUAACUUCGGGAGAAGGCACGCUGAUAUGUAGGUGAAGCGACUUGCUCGUGGAGCUGAAAUCAGUCGAAGAUACCAGCUGGCUGCAACUGUUUAUUAAAAACACAGCACUGUGCAAACACGAAAGUGGACGUAUACGGUGUGACGCCUGCCCGGUGCCGGAAGGUUAAUUGAUGGGGUUAGCGGUAACGCGAAGCUCUUGAUCGAAGCCCCGGUAAACGGCGGCCGUAACUAUAACGGUCCUAAGGUAGCGAAAUUCCUUGUCGGGUAAGUUCCGACCUGCACGAAUGGCGUAAUGAUGGCCAGGCUGUCUCCACCCGAGACUCAGUGAAAUUGAACUCGCUGUGAAGAUGCAGUGUACCCGCGGCAAGACGGAAAGACCCCGUGAACCUUUACUAUAGCUUGACACUGAACAUUGAGCCUUGAUGUGUAGGAUAGGUGGGAGGCUUUGAAGUGUGGACGCCAGUCUGCAUGGAGCCGACCUUGAAAUACCACCCUUUAAUGUUUGAUGUUCUAACGUUGGCCCGUAAUCCGGGUUGCGGACAGUGUCUGGUGGGUAGUUUGACUGGGGCGGUCUCCUCCUAAAGAGUAACGGAGGAGCACGAAGGUUGGCUAAUCCUGGUCGGACAUCAGGAGGUUAGUGCAAUGGCAUAAGCCAGCUUGACUGCGAGCGUGACGGCGCGAGCAGGUGCGAAAGCAGGUCAUAGUGAUCCGGUGGUUCUGAAUGGAAGGGCCAUCGCUCAACGGAUAAAAGGUACUCCGGGGAUAACAGGCUGAUACCGCCCAAGAGUUCAUAUCGACGGCGGUGUUUGGCACCUCGAUGUCGGCUCAUCACAUCCUGGGGCUGAAGUAGGUCCCAAGGGUAUGGCUGUUCGCCAUUUAAAGUGGUACGCGAGCUGGGUUUAGAACGUCGUGAGACAGUUCGGUCCCUAUCUGCCGUGGGCGCUGGAGAACUGAGGGGGGCUGCUCCUAGUACGAGAGGACCGGAGUGGACGCAUCACUGGUGUUCGGGUUGUCAUGCCAAUGGCACUGCCCGGUAGCUAAAUGCGGAAGAGAUAAGUGCUGAAAGCAUCUAAGCACGAAACUUGCCCCGAGAUGAGUUCUCCCUGAGACUUAGAGUCUCCUGAAGGAACGUUGAAGACGACGACGUUGAUAGGCCGGGUGUGUAAGCGCAGCGAUGCGUUGAGCUAACCGGUACUAAUGAACCGUGAGGCUUAACCUU
Molecule: ribosomal RNA, 2904 nt
Filed under: Escherichia coli
Lineage: Bacteria; Pseudomonadati; Pseudomonadota; Gammaproteobacteria; Enterobacterales; Enterobacteriaceae
Description: 23S ribosomal RNA
Rfam family: Bacterial large subunit ribosomal RNA
Source: RNAcentral